GACGAACGCUGGCGGCGUGCUUAACACAUGCAAGUCGAACGGAAAGGCCUCUUUCGGGGGGUACUCGAGUGGCGAACGGGUGAGUAACACGUGAGUAACCUGCCCUUGACUUUGGGAUAACUUCAGGAAACUGGGGCUAAUACCGGAUAGGAGCUCCUGCUGCAUGGCGGGGGUUGGAAAGUUUCGGCGGUUGGGGAUGGACUCGCGGCUUAUCAGCUUGUUGGUGGGGUAGUGGCUUACCAAGGCUUUGACGGGUAGCCGGCCUGAGAGGGUGACCGGCGACAUUGGGACUGAGAUACGGCCCAGACUCCGACGGGAGGCAGCAGUGGGGAAUAUUGCACAAGGGGUGGAAGCCUGAUGCAGCAACGCCGUGUGCGGGAUGACGGCCUUCGGGUUGUAAACCGCUUGCGCUCAUGACGAAGCUUUGUGUGACGGUAGUGGGUAAAGAAGCACCGGCUAACUACGUG
Molecule: ribosomal RNA, 467 nt
Filed under: uncultured bacterium
Lineage: Bacteria
Description: partial 16S ribosomal RNA
Rfam family: Bacterial small subunit ribosomal RNA
Source: RNAcentral